GCCUGUUUAACAAAAACAUCGCCUUUGGGGUAGUAUAAAAGGUUUGGCCUGCCCACUGUGAUUAAAGGGCCGCAGUAUUUUGACUGUGCAAAGGUAGCAUAAUCAUUAGUCUUUUAAUUGAAGGCUGGUAUGAAUGGUUGGAUGAGGUAAAAGCUGUCUCUUAUGAAUGAGUAGAAUUUAGCCUUUCAGUUAAAAGGCUGAAAUAGAGUUAGAGGACGAGAAGACCCUAUAGAUCUUUAUAGGGCUAUGUAAAGCUAGAAGAUGAGUUAGGGUGUUACAAAAUUCUUAUUUGGUUGGGGUGACAAGGAAAUAGAUUAACUUUCUUAAAUUGAACACUGAUUAGUGAAUUAGGGAUCCAUAGUUUGUGAUAAAAAGAGUAAGUUACCUUAGGGAUAACAGCAUAAUCUUUCUAGAGAGUUCUAAUCGAUAGAAGGGGUUGUGACCUCGAUGUUGGACUAAGAUUUAACCUAGGUGCAGCAGCCUGGGCUAAUGGUCUGUUCGACCAGUAGUAUCUUACAUGAUCUGAGUUCAAACCGGAGCUCC
Molecule: ribosomal RNA, 543 nt
Filed under: Nonnullidens sp. 22 CSC-2019
Lineage: Eukaryota; Metazoa; Arthropoda; Insecta; Ephemeroptera; Leptophlebiidae
Description: partial large subunit ribosomal RNA
Rfam family: Bacterial large subunit ribosomal RNA
Source: RNAcentral